Molecule: ribosomal RNA, 507 nt
Filed under: uncultured bacterium
Lineage: Bacteria
Description: bacterial SSU rRNA
Rfam family: Bacterial small subunit ribosomal RNA
Source: RNAcentral
GAUGAACGCUAGCUACAGGCUUAACACAUGCAAGUCGAGGGGAAACGAUAGAGAAAGCUUGCUUUUUCUAGGCGUCGACCGGCGCACGGGUGAGUAACGCGUAUCCAACCUGCCCACCACUUGGGGAUAACCUUGCGAAAGUAAGACUAAUACCCAAUGACGUCUCUAGAAGACAUCUGAAAGAGAUUAAAGAUUUAUCGGUGAUGGAUGGGGAUGCGUCUGAUUAGCUUGUUGGCGGGGUAACGGCCCACCAAGGCGACGAUCAGUAGGGGUUCUGAGAGGAAGGUCCCCCANAUUGGAACUGAGACACGGUCCAAAACUCCUACGGGAGGCAGCAGUGAGGAAUAUUGGUCAAUGGACGAGAGUCUGAACCAGCCAAGUAGCGUGCAGGAUGACGGCCCUAUGGGUUGUAAACUGCUUUUAUAAGGGAAUAAAGUGAGUCUCGUGAGACUUUUUGCAUGUACCUUAUGAAUAAGGACCGGCUAAUUCCGUGCCAGCAGCCGACGG